Molecule: ribosomal RNA, 718 nt
Filed under: Trichadenotecnum nothoapertum
Lineage: Eukaryota; Metazoa; Arthropoda; Insecta; Psocodea; Psocidae
Description: SSU rRNA
Rfam family: Eukaryotic small subunit ribosomal RNA
Source: RNAcentral
AAGUUGUUGCGGUUAAAAAGCUCGUAGUUGGAUCUGUGUGACACGCUGUCGGUUCACCGUUUUGAUGGUGUUUAACUGACAUGUCGUGGCACGUCCUGCCGGUUGGUAACGUGUCCUCCCUCGGGAGUGAUGCGUUUGCCAGUUCCAAUCCUGUCGCGGUGCUCUUCACCGAGUGUCGAGGCGGGCCGGCACGUUUACCUUGAACAAAUUUGAGUGCUUAAAGCAGGCUUCAAUUGCCGGAAAACUGUGUGCAUGGAAUAAUAUAAUAGGACUUCGGUUCUAUUUUGUUGGUUUUCAGAAUCCGAGGUAAUGAUUAAAAGGGCCUGGCGGGGGCAUUAGUAUUGCGACGUGAGAGGUGAAAUUCUUGGACCGUCGCAAGACUAACUGGAGCGAAAGCGUUUGCCAAGAAUGCUUCCAUUAAUCAAGAACGAAAGUUAGAGGUUCGAAGGCGAUCAGAUACCGCCCUAGUUCUAACCAUAAAUGAUGCCAGCCAGCGAUCCGUCGUCGCUCUUUUAUGACGCGACGGGCAGCUUCAGGGAAACUAAAGCUUUUGGGUUCCGGGGGAAGUAUGGUUGCAAAGCUGAAACUUAAAGGAAUUGACGGAAAGGCACCACCAGGAGUGGAGCCUGCGGCUUAAUUUGACUCAACACGGGAAAUCUCACCAGGCCAGAACACCAGUUGGAUUGACAGAUUGAGAGCUCUUUCUUGAUUUGGUGGG